CGGCUCCUGCAGGCGCUCGGCCUCCGCUCAUUCCUGACCCCGCAGUGGGCGCGAUGGCGGAGGCUGUACUGAGGGUCGCCCGGCGGCAGCUGAGCCAGCGCGGCGGGUCUGGAGCCCCCAUCCUCCUGCGGCAGAUGUUCGAGCCCGUGAGCUGCACCUUCACGUACCUGCUGGGUGACAGAGAGUCCCGGGAGGCCGUUCUGAUCGACCCAGUCCUGGAAACAGCGCCUCGGGAUGCCCAGCUGAUCAAGGAGCUGGGGCUGCGGCUGCUGUAUGCUGGUCAGUCCGGGGACCAAACUCAUGGAUCCCAGCGUGGCUGGGCUGCAGCGUCAGUGGAAUGGGAAGCUGGGGCCCAGAACUCCUGAGUCUGAGGGAGAAGGAUCUGGGCUGGGACGCCCAGGUCCUUUCUGUACCCUCCGGACCUGUCCCUCCUCUCUCUCCCAGUGAAUACCCACUGCCACGCGGACCACAUUACAGGCUCGGGGCUGCUCCGUUCCCUCCUUCCUGGCUGCCAGUCUGUCAUCUCCCGCCUUAGUGGGGCCCAGGCUGACUUACACAUUGAGGAUGGAGACUCCAUCCGCUUCGGGCGCUUC
This 593-nucleotide small RNA is filed under the name Pan troglodytes (chimpanzee). RNAcentral's name for it is "retained intron". The record is from RNAcentral. Lineage: Eukaryota; Metazoa; Chordata; Mammalia; Primates; Hominidae.